RNAcentral lists this ribosomal RNA (427 nucleotides) under uncultured prokaryote. RNAcentral's name for it is "bacterial SSU rRNA". It matches the Rfam family "Bacterial small subunit ribosomal RNA", at positions 355 to 774 of the family's 1533-position model. The record is from RNAcentral.
UGGGGAAUUUUGGACAAUGGGCGCAAGCCUGAUCUAGCAAUGCCGCGUGCAGGAAGAAGGCCUUCGGGUUGUAAAGCUCUUUUGUCAGGGAAGAAACGGUGAGAGCUAAUAUCUCUUGCUAAUGACGGUACCUGAAGAAUAAGCACCGGCUAACUACGUGCCAGCAGCCGCAGUAAUACGUAGGGUGCAAGCGUUAAUCGGAAUUACUGGGCGUAAAGCGUGCGCAGGCGGUUUUGUAAGUCUGAUGUGAAAUCCCCGGGCUCAACCUGGGAAUUGCAUUGGAGACUGCAAGGCUAGAAUCUGGCAGAGGGGGGUAGAAUUCCACGUGUAGCAGUGAAAUGCGUAGAUAUGUGGAGGAACACCGAUGGCGAAGGCAGCCCCCUGGGUCAAGAUUGACGCUCAUGCACGAAAGCGUGCGGAGCAAACA